Long non-coding RNA from Canis lupus familiaris (dog), 5049 nucleotides. RefSeq lists it as uncharacterized. NCBI's taxonomy places the organism in Eukaryota, Metazoa, Chordata, Mammalia, Carnivora, Canidae. The transcript has 3 exons. The record is from RefSeq and is a predicted model, not a curated record.
GCCUGAGUUAGCAUUCCCGACAUUUCCUCAGCCCUCUUUGGCACAUGAGAAAUCCCAGAGAUGGCUACAGGCCCUGGGUGAACGCAGAUGUUGGCAAGACACUAGCUGAAGAGCUCACCCUGGAGUGUAAAUGAUCUGAGAGUCGAGACAAUGAUUGGGCCACCUGAAUGGGAGACCAAACAGGGUUCAUGGCCAUGUCUCGGUGUGGGGCGGGGGGGUCUUCAGCAGCAGCCUGAGUCAGCAGGGAGGAUCACAGAACCCUGGGAGAGGGCACAGCAAGAUCCCUUAACUACUGACUUCGGCACUGGCCACCGCUAGGAGUAUCUACUGCCGUGGAGACCGGAAGGGCCCAGAGAGGGGACCGGUGACACCAGAGGGACGCCCAGCCACACUGGCCUGAAGGAUGAGGCACUCCCACUGCUUACCCAGAGGCCGUCCUGGAGAGGAUCAAGGGAGGGAGAGCGGAAUGGAAAGAGUAACUAUCUAAAGCAAAAAAAGACUCAAUUGCCCAAACGGAUUGUUGAAAGCAUUGGAGUGGACCAAGCUGACCGGAUCAGAACCAGGUUCGAUACUUACUCCCAGGGCUUCCCGUGUGCACGCGUGCUCCCGCGGACACGUACACACCUACAAAGGCACGCCGGGCUCUUGAGAAAGCUCAAAUGUGCUAUAGAAAGUUUCUUUGCACGUCGCGUGGAGCAAUCUUUAAAGUCCUCGCGGGUGCCGGCGGGGCAGGGAAUUAGGCUUCGGUCUCUCCGAGGGACCCAACUGCGCAUACGGGGUCUCCCGCCCGGUACAGCCUUCCGUGCUCGGGCCAGGCUCAUUGGGCCUGGAAAGGCCACAUCAGCUGCACAACCCACCUCCGAGGGUCUGGUUGGCCCUGGGAGGCAGAAGUCAGGAAUCUUCACACACUCAGCAAGAUCUGUGAAGCAAGAGGGGGUGCGUGGGAAGGUGGGGGGGUGGUCGUAGCAUUUGCCCCUUUCAUCUCCUUGGGCAGUCCCAAUGUCCCUGCCCCCCAUCUCGGCUGUAUCAAGGCUAUGUGCGUCCCCCUGUCUUUCCUGGCCUCCUCUGGGAUGCCUCCUCUGCCAUGACAGUUGCUGAGGGUUCCCCAGGGCAGGUAGAAGCAUGAUUUGCUUUUCAAGCUCUACCCACUUAUUGAUCUCCUGUCUGAGAAAUGUCAGCAGCAGCCAGGAGCUCUCCCUGCUAAGGCACUUAGCUUGGAAGCCUGUGGUAUCUGCCUGCAUAAACCCUCCCGCCUCCUGCCUCUCUGGCUUUAGAACUAUCCCCACCCCCACCUUGGGAAAAGUCUUCUAAGAUGAGAUGGCAAGAAUCAAACAGAGACGUGCUUUGAACACUGGGACGGGAACCAGAUUUAAAUUGGGCAAAAGCCGGGAGCUCAGAGCGGGUGCAAUUCCGUUCCUGCCAUCCCUCCCCCUCUCUGCAUCUGGUUGCCGGGAGCAGGGUUGGAAGGGCUUAUCCAUCUAUGCAUUCACUUGAUAAAGAAGGAUUUAUGGAAUGUUUUCUACGAUGCUGGGACUACGAAUAACCUGUACCGGCCACCAUUUUAAGGACUUCGCACAUACUGACUCCUUUAAUCCACAUGUUAACCCUGCGAGAUAAGAAAAUUAGGCACAGAGCACUAUGGCAGCGUGCCCAGUAUCCCAGAUGAUGUUGGUGGCAGUUUCGGUUUCUGUCUCCUGCUCAGACCAGGCAUGGAAGGUGUUCGGGGCCAGUGGCCACCUUCUGCUUCUUCAGUGUCCCUUACUGAUCUUGUCUAUCUAGACAGCCCAGAGGCUUUCCGUCACGAACCAGGCCAGCUGUGCAGUGGCCAGAGUGGCGGGGCAGGGAGUCCAUGCCCUCAAGUGUUCUGCUUCUCAAGGAGUCCCCUUGACUGCCUCCUCGUAAGCUCAGGACUUCCUGUGGCCCAGGCAAGGAAGGAGGACGCAACAGCAGGAGCACCCAAGGCAGCUGCUGGGAAACAUAGCUGGGGGUAUGCACCUACUGUUAUUUCAAUUCUUAGGCUAAAGAGCUCAGCUGUGUCCCCUCCAAAUUCAUACAUUGGAGCCCUGAUUCCCAGCACCCCAGAAUGUGACAUUUGGAGACAGAGUCUUUACUGAGGUGAUGAAGUUAACGUGAGGUCGUCUGGGUGGGUUCUAGUCCUGUAGGACUGGUGUCCUUAUAAGAAGAGGAAGUUGGGCAACAGAUCCACGGAGGGAAGAUCGUGUGAGGACACAGAGAGAAGACGGCCAUCUAAGAGCCAAGGGGAAAGGCCUGGAACAGAUCCCUCUCUCAUGGCCCUCCCACCCUCAGAAGGAACCAACCCUGGGGACAUUUUGAUCUCCGACUUCCAGCCUCCAGAACCACGAGGCGGGACAUUCCUGUUGUGGAUGCCACCUUCUGUGGUCCAUCGUUACAGCAGCCAGAGCCAACUAAUAGACGAGCCACCCUGUGUUUCUUAGGGUGCAAGCCAAGGCGUGACAAGUGUGGUACCCCCACCCCCUCAGUCCUGCCCCCAUUUAGGGGCAGCCCCAGGAAGAGCAGGGGCUGUGGGGAGUAGAGAGGCCCAAGCUGAGCACUUCCAACAGCCCCUGCUCCCAGCUUCCCUCCUAUCUCGCCCACUGCCUCCCUGAGCCAGUCGCCAGGGGCUACGGGAGACCUUUCCAGGCCCUUCUGCACUGCCUGGAGGAGACGUCACCAUUGUUCCUCUGGCAUCUGAAGGCUGCUGCGAGCAGGGGACAGGGGAGGAGCUGGCCCAGAGGGCCAGCCUUCUCCCCAGGACUCCGGAGCCAGGUUCCCCUGGGGUGGCCCCUGGAGCCUCCCCCACCAUCCUCACUGGGGAGCUAGAAGAAGCCUUAGUCUGUGGGUGCACCUGCUUAGCCCUCCUGGAGGGGAGCUGGGGGCGGUUUUCAGCACUCGCACCCUUUCCUCUCUUCCUGUCUGUCUUUUUUUUCUAAAUAAGAGAAGGCAGUUCCUUCGGCACCAGGAGCGAAAGAGAGGGAGGGAGCCGAGCAAUGAAAGGCUCCGAGAGUGUUACACAUAACAGUGGGCGUAUUUUAUGGAAAGCAGCCGACAAUCAGUGUUUGCAGACGCCUUUUAUUUUAUAUUAUUUCCUCAUCUGUUCAGCUUUCUUGGGCGGGAGCCAGAAAGUUAAUAUUCUCAGUCAAAGUCGGUCUUUUAUCUGUCAGGUUCAAAAUGAAACCAAGCCGCUGGGGUUUUAAAGCGUCUCAGCCAAAAGGCAAACACACCUUCUCAGCAGCUCAGGCCCAGGGGCUGUCACUUGGGCUGCCACCCUUGCCAGCAGCUCCCGCGGAGGCCCUAUUACUGGGGCUUUUGACUGGGGCGGGGUGGGAGGUGAGGACCUGUGACUCCCUCCCCAGGACGUGGGUCACCCCUGGGCUCCUGGCCUGCCUGCGGCCUUCUGGCGUCAUUAGCACCUGAGCAUGGUGCCAUCAGUCGGUGCCCGAGGCACCUCACCAGGCCUGCAGGCUCGAGGGCAGUUCAGCCAGUUAAAGGGGCAGAGGAGACGAAAGGUCAGGAGCGGUGGUUAGCCCCUGCCUGAGCCUACUUGGGCUCCCGCAAGGGCUGUCCAGGAGAAGUGGUCUGAGCAAAGCCGUGGUGCCUUCAAAACAUGCCAUCAAGUUCUGUGAUGGGCCCCCAUGACGAGGUAGGAGCCCAGCCCUCCACCCUGCAAAUGUGGGCCGGCUUUCGGGACUCACUUCGAGCAAAUAAUUACAAGAAUAACAAAAAGUGAUGCUGUGUGAUUUCCGAGGCAAGAUGAUAAAAGCCGAUACACCUUCCAUCUGGCCCUCGCUCACGGGACGGCCACUCGGGAGCCCCAAGCUGCCAUGGAAGCAAUCCGGCUGUUCCGAGGCUGCCACGCUGGACAGACGACAUGGGCAGCCCACACAGAGAGACCCGGAGCCCAGCUGUGCUGCCCCGAGUUGUCGGGAGUCCUCCCAGCCCACGCACCAGAGAGAAGAAGGCUUUGAGAUGUCCCCACCUCCGGCCAUGUGACUGCAACCACAGGAGCAGUCCCAGUGGGGAGCUGCCUUGCUGAGCCCUGUCACCCCACAACGAUCGAUCGAAGCUGGGUUACACCUCUAGGUUCGGGAUGUUCUGUUACACAGCAAUAGAUGUCCAGCGCACUGGCUUUCUCCCUUCUGAUUUUGUCUCCUCCCAAGCAAGGCUGGAAGGUGGGGUCCUUUCCAUUGUACGAAUCCAUCCCGGGCGGGACAGGCAUAGUGCAGGAAUGGGUCCCUGACCUGGGGCCUAAGGGCCUGAAUUUCGGUUCUGAUUCUUCCCGACAUACCACCUUGGUCCACUCUCUGGGGGUCCACUAUGCUCCUGGACCUCAGUGUCCAUGUCUAAUAAAAUGGAGCUGACAGAUAAGAAGAGCUUCAUGGAGCUGUUUGAGAAGGGUCCAUUGAGGCUGUGGACGUAACAAUGGGACGUCUAAAGGCCUUGAGAUGUGUUUCCACAAAUGCCUCAUACCUCCCCGUGGCAAGUGUAUGCAGAAGGAUACAUGCAACACAACCUAAACUGAGUCUGACGCACCUGGCACACUGAGGGGAAAGGGACCCUUUGUAAAAUAUAAGAACUAUUUUGAAGCUCCUUCUUCUUUGUACGUUCUCUCAUAGUGUCAUGGGGGCAACCAACGAAGCCAUUCAGGGAAGCCCAUGGCUUUUGCGGCCGUCUCUGUUACGUGCCAAUCAAAGUGAGGGCCUCUGCAAUCAAUCUGGGGCCUCCCCUGGGUUUGGAGGCCCCCUAAAAUGAGGUGGGGCACCCCUGGAUCUACGGCUCCAGGAGCUGCUACCCCCCACCCUGUGCCCAUUAUCAAUUACACCCCACCCAACCCCAGACCCAGCUGGACUCAAUAGCAUUUUCAGAAACCAACUGAAAUUGGAAAUAAGCACUGCAGGGGGGGCUGGGGAGGGAGAAUUUGGCCUCAUGCUACAUUGCCCCCACAUUUAGCUUGGACCCAGACUUCUGCUCGUCCCCCCUGAGUGUUCCACCCUGGGCACCAACCCCUUGGCACUUCUGCGGGCCUCUCCC